AAAAAAGAACACAUGUCUUCAUUGCACUGGGAAGCACGGCGCAAGCAAAGGCUGAUGGACAAGCGAGCAAAGGAGGAGGGCGAAUACAAACUCUUGACAAUACCUAAAGCAGCUGUGGAGCCUCCGCCAAGUCAGGAGGAGAAAAAAGUUGUCCCAGAAACUUCAACCGCAAGUGAACUUGGAGGACCGAGAUCCAAGAAAUACACAUCCACAGACUACGUUCAGCAGUGGUGAGAGAUGGAGCGAGGAGUCAGCCUGACGGCACAGCACGGCACGGCACGGCACCACGCGGCACUCACCAGGACAAUAACUUCCUCACAGCCGAGAACCUCCCGGCAAUUUAGUUCGACCACUGCCCCCAGUGUUCAACUGCAGCAACGAUGUGAUGUGGAGUGAAGUGACCGACAGCUGUAGGAGAAGCCAAGCGACCCCACCGAGGGCCGGUUGACACGAACCCAUCGCAGUCAAUAAAACCCUUUGGGCUCAGCCGCGCUCUCCGACUCCCGUUCUCGCCGCACAACCCGACCUCCCUCUCCAAUCGGCAGCUUAGCCGCUGAGGAAACGGGGACGUGUU
This is a long non-coding RNA of Callorhinchus milii (elephant shark), 574 nucleotides long. RefSeq lists it as uncharacterized. The record is from RefSeq and is a predicted model, not a curated record. Lineage: Eukaryota; Metazoa; Chordata; Chondrichthyes; Chimaeriformes; Callorhinchidae. The transcript has 4 exons.